This 530-nucleotide long non-coding RNA is filed under the name Numida meleagris (helmeted guineafowl). RNAcentral describes it as "lncRNA (ENSNMEG00000019586.1)". Lineage: Eukaryota; Metazoa; Chordata; Aves; Galliformes; Numididae. The record is from RNAcentral.
AUUAAGCAUAAAAUGCAUCACAGUGGUUUGGCUGAGCUGAAUUAUAGAUUAAUGGGAUAGCUGGGUUGAAGAUAAAGAUCCUUCAAGCUCAGUGACCCUCUCCUUCCACUCUGCCUAACUGCCUUACUUCAGGUUUAUUGCAUUAGAUAGAAACAAACAACACCUUUUUAUUUCUGUGUGUGCAUCCCCAUGACCUUUACAUUGUAUGUGAGUGGUGGAGGAGUCUGGGUGCUGCCAUCCCCACCCCACCAGGAAGUUCCAGUGCUGCUAGCUAUUUGCAAAUCUGUACUGAACACUGAAUUUUGAAGCUGGUGCUGUGGAAGCAUUGGUCAGCAGCUCUGCUGCUUCUGAACCUGAUGGUAAUGGAUGGGCUAAGAAAUCUGGACACGUUCAUUGCACCGAGGGACCGUGUGCUUCUGGAGAUUUUUCCUUGUCAUAGGGAAUCCAAAAGCAGCACUCUCAAAGAAAUAAGAAGCCUGGUUUUCUGCAAAACCUGCAUUCUCAAUCUUUGCCAGGGGAAUAGAGUAUAA